Molecule: RNA transcript, 3064 nt
Organism: Daucus carota subsp. sativus
Lineage: Eukaryota; Viridiplantae; Streptophyta; Magnoliopsida; Apiales; Apiaceae
Exons: 6
Source: RefSeq, a predicted model, not a curated record
UCAUGUUUAAAAUAUUAUAUUUAAUAAAUUAAUCAUAUUAUAUGCACAUUUUAUUAUCAUAUUACAAAAAUUAUUUUACCAAUACUCUAUGCAACAUAUAGUGUUGGCUAUUGCAACAUCAAAUGGACAUGAAUGGCUAUCGUUGCGAUAGGUAUGGAUUAGUGCCUCUAAUGCAACAUAAUUUUGCAACACUCGUGUUUGCACCAUUGCGAUAGGCCAUAUAUGGCGUAGUGAAAGGGAGAAAAAAAAGAAAAGAAAAGAAGAAAAUCAAAGAAAGUUGGCAAGCAAGGGGGCACAUGGAUGGCUAUGAUUUACCCAACACACAUCACACAUGGAUGGAUUAGAUGUAGCCACCCUACCCCUAAACCCUACAUUUCUAGCUAUAAAUACCCCCACCCCCUUUACUUGUAAUCAUCUUUUUAAACCUAGGAUUUUCUUCUUUUAGUAGCCUCCUUUCUCUAGUCUAGAUCUAGUUUUAAUUUGUAUGCUCUCUCCUCCUUUUGUAAACACAUUUUAAUAUUUUAAUGCAAAAUUUCAUAUUUGUUCUUACAUUCUUGUUCUUUAUGUUUCCUUUGGCUAUGAAAUCUUCCUCUAACUACAAUGUUCAAAGUUGUUUGUAGAUUGGAAGGAGCCACUUAUUAGUUGUAGCUCUCUUUACAUUUAGAUUUAAUUUUUGGUAGAAACUUAAGUCCUAGCACAAAAUUAAUUUGUGUUAGAGUCUUAACUUUCCAGAUUUCAAGUUAUCAGUUCGGCAGUUUAUUCUUAAUUCGGCAGCUUCAUUUUUAUUAGUAAACUAUCAACACUCGUUUUCUUUAAACCCACUUACAUCAAAGUUUCGUAGAUUUUGUUUUAUUUUAUAAAAAACCUCACCUGCAGCACAUGUGUUGUUUUUCUUUAAAACCCCAUUCCCCACUCCCCUGUUUUCCAUUCGUUUAGUUCAAACCCAUUCCGUUUUUCCCCUAUUUGAUUUUCGUUCAAAAUACCACUGUUUAUCUUUACUUGGCUUUCCGUUUACUGCGUUUUGUGACUUUCUCUUUUCCGUUUCAUUAUCGCGUUGUUCUGAGUUUAGCCGAGUCCAGUACCAUGUUCAUGCCCUGUACCGAGUUUGUAAUGAGUUGUGUAGUUUGUUGUUCUUGAAUGUUUGUUCCUUGCCGAGUUCUGGGUUUGUGCUUUGUUUAUGAUUCUGAGUCCGCUAUCGAGUCCUGUAGUUUAAUCCGCUGUUUAAGUCGAUUUUCUUUGCUGCAUUUCCGAGUUCUGUUUCGAGUCGUAUCUGGGUUUGAAAUCGUGCGAGUUCAUGCUCUGUCUUGCUGGGUUCUUCAGUUUUUAGUUCUGUUUUUGAAAGAUGAAUGUUCUGAGUUGCCGAGUUUCUGUUUUCGUUCUUGAGCUUCCGUCGAGAUCCUGUUUUUAGCUCAUUUGUCUUUUAGUUUGUUUUAUUAAUCUUAAGUGUAAAGUCUGGUGGUUUUGUUUUGGAGUGUUGGUUUGUAGGCUGAGUCUUGUUCUUUGGUUUUGAUGUCAAGUUUUAGUCGAGAUUAACCCGAGCUUUGCUGGGAUUUCAUCGAGUAUACUAGUUAGAGUGUGCGUUAAUGAUUUUUGGUUGAAGCCAAUGCUAGCCUAGUUGUUAGUUAAAAUUUACGCUGGAGUUUGUGGUUAUAGCUUCUGUGCUUAUUGUUAAAUUCUGCCAUUUUAAAUAGUUUUGUGUAUGGCCAAGUCGAGUUGUCAUUAGCUGUGAUUCAUGGUGCUGUUUUGUGCUAAUUUGAUUUCAAUUGUCUAGUAUUCCUCGUAAAUUAGAUAAAUCAAUUAAUUAGUUUCUUUUCAAUUGUUUUCAUAAAAUAAUUGGAUUAACGAUUUAGCUGAUAAUUAAUUAGGUUAAUCAAUUUUCCUCUUAGACUUGAUAAUUUUAGAUUUAAUUUAGAUAAAACCCCUUCUCACUCACUAAUUGUUCUAUUCCGCCUAGGUUUUAAGUAAAGAUUUGCGAAAAUUAUUUUAAUCUCUGUGGACGAAUCAUAAAUAUUAAAACGGUGAUCGUGCGCUUGCGAUCUGAAAGUAUCAUUUUCUAGCACAUCAUCGGCGGACGCCGCUGGAAUUAUUUUGCUGAGGAUUUUUUCCCCACGGUAUGUUUCUAGCCUGCUAAGGAAAUUUUUUCCAAGGUAUGCUUCUCGCCUGAUUUGGCGAUUUGAUUAUUGUAAAGUAACUAAGCCGUGUCUAUAUGAAUGGAGCUUUAUAUGUGUUGGCAGCUAUCACCUGUUCGACAAAUUGCCUAAGAAAAGAGAUCUUGCACCGCAAAAAUGUUUCUGAGGAGAUGCUAUUCAACGUUUUCUUCUCGUCCAUUGCGCGACUGCGUCGUUGCAAGCGGCCCUGCUGGUUUUUACACUGCCAAAAAGGUACCAUUUUAAUAUUUAUGGGUUAUGAGCAAUGCGAAAUUAAAAUAAUCGCAAAUUUGACUACUCAAAGCUGGCUUAUCACUAUCAACAUGUACCAGGCAUCUGAUACUUCAUUCUAAACUCUUAAAGGCAGAAACUGGUGAAGCUAUUGCCAGGUAGACUGUUGCAUGUGUGUUUUUGGGAUAUCCAUGGAAGUUGGAAAAUUAAAACAAGUGAACCUGAAGAUAAUUUGCUUCUGGAAGAGCCAGAGCCCGGCAACAGAGAUGAAACAAGAGAAAAAAAAGAGGCUGAAGAACAGAAGCAAGAAGCACAUGAAUGUAAUUCAGCAAACAAAAACAAUGUCAAAGAGGCUUUGCAACACAAGUAAGAAAAGGAUGGAGCUGUCUAACAGGCCAAUGUGGCAUUAUAUACUUUCCUUUUCCUUUGGCUUCUAACAAGGUGGUUGCGCAUAUAAUUUGCCUUAGAAUACAAUCAAUGUGAAUGGUUUUCUUCAACUUUCUUUCAUGCACACUAUAACCAGAUUCGUUCCAAGCUUGAAGUAGGCUUCUAAAUGUUACAAGUUGCCUAAUUACGUUAUUAACUGAUGUAAGCUCCACCUCCUUAAUCAAGAUCAUCACUUGAAAGGGACAAAGCUGUUAAUUUUAUUUUUUUAGUAAAUGCUGAAGGUUAGAAUUUUAACAAAA